This 329-nucleotide ribosomal RNA is filed under the name uncultured eukaryote. Its description in RNAcentral is "partial 18S ribosomal RNA". It matches the Rfam family "Eukaryotic small subunit ribosomal RNA", at positions 1470 to 1796 of the family's 1831-position model. The record is from RNAcentral.
CCCUUAGAUGUUCUGGGCCGCACGCGCGCUACACUGACGAUGGCAACGAGUUUUUCCUUCGCCGAAAGGUGUGGGUAAUCUUUUGAAACAUCGUCGUGCUGGGGAUAGAUCAUUGCAAUUUUUGAUCUUGAACGAGGAAUUCCUAGUAAGCGCGAGUCAUCAGCUCGCGUUGAUUACGUCCCUGCCCUUUGUACAUACCGCCCGUCGCUACUACCGAUUGAAUGGUUUAGUGAGGACUCCUGAUUGGCGCCGCCGCCCCGGCAACGGAGCAGCGGACUGCCGAAAAGUUGUUCAAACUUGAUCAUUUAGAGGAAGUAAAAGUCGUAACA